Molecule: unclassified non-coding RNA, 240 nt
Filed under: soil metagenome
Description: partial contains 5.8S ribosomal RNA, internal transcribed spacer 2, and large subunit ribosomal RNA
Source: RNAcentral
AACACUGUUAACCUGCGGUACCUGCGGAGGGAUCAUUACAGAGUUGCAAAACUCCCUAAACCAUUGUGAACGUUACCUAAACCGUUGCUUCGGCGGGCGGCCCGGGUCCUUCCCGGCGCCCCUCGGCCCUCGCGGGCGUCCGCCGGAGGUAAACCAAACUAUUGCAUUGUAUGGCCUCUCUGAGUCUUCUGUACUGAAUAAGUCAAAACUUUUAGCAAUGGAUCUCAGAUCGGAAGAGCA